GUAGGGAAUAUUGGGCAAUGGUCGGAAGACUGACCCAGCCAUGCCGCGUGCAGGAAGACGGCCCUCUGGGUUGUAAACUGCUUUUAUCUGGGAAGAAAAAGGCCAUGUGUGGCAAAUUGCCGGUACCAGAUGAAUAAGCACCGGCUAACUCCGUGCCAGCAGCCGCGGUAAUACGGAGGGUGCGAGCGUUGUCCGGAUUUAUUGGGUUUAAAGGGUGCGUAGGCGGCUGAUUAAGUCAGCGGUGAAAGACUUCGGCUUAACCGGAGCAGUGCCGUUGAUACUGGUUGGCUUGAGUGUCGGAGGGGUACAUGGAAUUGAUGGUGUAGCGGUGAAAUGCAUAGAUACCAUCAGGAACACCGAUAGCGAAGGCAUUGUACUGGCCGACAACUGACGCUGAGGCGCGAAAGCGUGGGGAGCAAACAGGAUUAGAAACCCUUGUAGUCC
This 444-nucleotide ribosomal RNA is filed under the name uncultured bacterium. Its description in RNAcentral is "partial 16S ribosomal RNA". It matches the Rfam family "Bacterial small subunit ribosomal RNA", at positions 354 to 796 of the family's 1533-position model. The record is from RNAcentral.